AAUGGGUCAGCGACUUAUAUUCUGUAGCAAGGUUAACCGAAUAGGGGAGCCGAAGGGAAACCGAGUCUUAACUGGGCGUUAAGUUGCAGGGUAUAGACCCGAAACCCGGUGAUCUAGCCAUGGGCAGGUUGAAGGUUGGGUAACACUAACUGGAGGACCGAACCGACUAAUGUUGAAAAAUUAGCGGAUGACUUGUGGCUGGGGGUGAAAGGCCAAUCAAACCGGGAGAUAGCUGGUUCUCCCCGAAAGCUAUUUAGGUAGCGCCUCGUGAAUUCAUCUCCGGGGGUAGAGCACUGUUUCGGCAAGGGGGUCAUCCCGACUUACCAACCCGAUGCAAACUGCGAAUACCGGAGAAUGUUAUCACGGGAGACACACGGCGGGUGCUAACGUCCGUCGUGAAGAGGGAAACAACCCAGACCGCCAGCUAAGGUCCCAAAGUCAUGGUUAAGUGGGAAACGAUGUGGGAAGGCCCAGACAGCCAGGAUGUUGGCUUAGAAGCAGCCAUCAUUUAAAGAAAGCGUAAUAGCUCACUGGUCGAGUCGGCCUGCGCGGAAGAUGUAACGGGGCUAAACCAUGCACCGAAGCUGCGGCAGCGACACUAUGUGUUGUUGGGUAGGGGAGCGUUCUGUAA
RNAcentral lists this ribosomal RNA (631 nucleotides) under Escherichia coli. RNAcentral's name for it is "partial 23S ribosomal RNA". It matches the Rfam family "Bacterial large subunit ribosomal RNA", at positions 614 to 1246 of the family's 2925-position model. Lineage: Bacteria; Pseudomonadati; Pseudomonadota; Gammaproteobacteria; Enterobacterales; Enterobacteriaceae. The record is from RNAcentral.